AGUGAACGCUGGCGGUAUGCCUAACACAUGCAAGUCGAACGGCAGCACAGUAAGAGCUUGCUCUUACGGGUGGCGAGUGGCGGACGGGUGCGGUAUACAUCGGAAUCUACUUUUUCGUGGGGGAUAACGUAGGGAAACUUACGCGAAUACCGCAUACGACCUACUGGUGAAAGCAGGGGAUCUUCGAACCUUGCGCUAUUGAAUGAGCCGAUGUCGGCUUAGCUCGUUGGCGGGGUAAAGGCCCACCAAGGCGACGAUCCGUAGCUGGUCUGAGAGGAUGAGCAGCCAAACUGGACCGGAGACACGGUCCAGACUCCUACGAGAGGCAGAAGUGGGGAACAUUGGACAAUGGGAGCAAGCCUGAUUCAGCCACACCGCGUGGGUGAAGAAGGCCUUCGGGUUGUAAAGCCCUUUUGUUGGGAAAGAAAAGCAGCAGGUUAAUACCCCGCUGUUCUGACGGUACCCAAAGAAUAAGCACCGGCUAACUUCGUGC
RNAcentral lists this ribosomal RNA (493 nucleotides) under uncultured bacterium. RNAcentral's name for it is "partial 16S ribosomal RNA". It matches the Rfam family "Bacterial small subunit ribosomal RNA", at positions 29 to 508 of the family's 1533-position model. The record is from RNAcentral.